AAAAGUUCAAAGAUGAGGAACACAAGUGAGACAGAUUUGGAUGGUUCUACAGCUAAAAAGUUCCGGAGAGAUGAUGUACAUAAUGAUUACAAUCUUAUUGAGGCAAAACCGGGACAGAGCUCAAGCACUGGUUUAUCUGGAUCGGAGAAGAUUAGAGAUAAAUAUAAAUACAAGCAGCCAAAGGUUGAUUCACUGAAAAAUUUGGCUGUAGCAAAAAAUCCAGAAAGCCGUUCUUUGGAUGGUUCAAUCCAAAAAUGUGACAUUAAAGACUCCCUUAAGAGGAAACGGAGUGAUUGCCAGAAUCCCGAGACACAGCCUCCCCCAGAUAUUAUAGAAGAGACUUGUGAUAACGACCGUAAGAAAGAAAAGAAAGCAAAGGUCUCCAAGUCCGUGGGAAAAGACUCCAGCAGAAGCGGAGCUAGU
RNAcentral lists this unclassified non-coding RNA (423 nucleotides) under Hevea brasiliensis (rubber tree). Lineage: Eukaryota; Viridiplantae; Streptophyta; Magnoliopsida; Malpighiales; Euphorbiaceae. The record is from RNAcentral.